Raphanus sativus (radish) is the source of this 1265-nucleotide long non-coding RNA. RefSeq lists it as uncharacterized. NCBI's taxonomy places the organism in Eukaryota, Viridiplantae, Streptophyta, Magnoliopsida, Brassicales, Brassicaceae. The record is from RefSeq and is a predicted model, not a curated record. The transcript is spliced from 2 exons.
AUCGCAUCUCUCUCUCUCUCUCUCUCUCUCUCUCUCUCUCUCUCUCUCUCUCUCUUCACUGUUUUUCUGUUCAUAGUUGUUAGAUCUCAUGUCUUUUCGAAUCUGAAUCUUUAAGAUGAUUUCCUCUCCUUUGACUAAACCUGUCCAGAUAGUUUCCAGCUUUCUAGACGUUUGUUGUUCGAUCUUCUCCAUAGCUUUGUGACAACAGAUUAUAGGGUUUGGUUUCUGUAUUUUCUUUCCUCAAUAAAAUAGUAUUUGUCAGCUCAUAAAUUUCUUGCUGCACAACAACUCUACAUAUCCUAUUCAUUAAGAGAAAACCCAUCUGCUUCUUUGUCUACCUCAUAAAUAAUCUCUCACUAUUGUUCUAUCGCUCUAGGUUCUCGCUUUAUCUUUUGUUCUCUUUUAUUAUAUAGAAACCCUUUUUGCUCCUUGAUUUGUACAACAGAAAGGCAAAGUUUAGAUCGUUAACCUUUUUGAUCAUGUGGGUUUGACAAAAGAGUUUCUUACAGAGUUCUUUGGCAUUCUGUCCACCUCCUUUCUGUAUAUAUUUAUGCGUAUAAGUGUUUGUAACUACGUUGUGUUUUGUGAGAGGAGGUGGGCAUACUGCCAAUAGAGAUCUGUUAGGGUUUCUUUGUAAAACCCCUCACGAUUUGAUGUAUUCGAGAAUCAAGAUAGUAAGUACACUGGCUCAUGGUAAUCAAGAUCUCUAAGAUCUGAGUUUGAAGAAAAAUGGUAUUAUCUCGAAUCCACUUAACCUAAUUAUGUGGGAUCGUUACUUCGUUUGUUCUAUUAAGUCAAUUUUACACAUUCCCGUCUCUUUGAUAUGAAUGACCUCUCAAAAGUUUUUUUUUAUCCUGCUUUCCUUGGUCGUUGAGACUUGAGACUCUAAUCUUUUGUUGGGGUUUGUAAGAUUUAUCACGUUCAUCACUAUAUUUGUGGAAACUCUACAUCUCUUAAAUUUUCAAUGGCGGUGACCGGCGUGAGAUUAAGUUGGGAGUAGUGGUGGCGUUGGAGACGUUUACAUCAUCCAGGAAAAGUUAUUCGUAGCAUUGAGAUUAUAAACCAAGAAGCUAGCUGUUUUCUAUGAAGGACAAGGUGACAACAUCAGUGAAAUGAUCCGAGUUAUAUACUUACAUGGUAUUUUAUUUCUGUAUUUUUUUAGAAAAUUAGAAUUUUAAAGCAGGCAAACUAACCUAUGAAUGUAUUCGUGUGGUAAUGACUUUACGUGACCGAGUAGACAUGUAUAAUGCAGGACGUCUUCGAUG